AUACAAAAAGCAUUAAUUUUCUCAUUUGAAAUAUUUCACAUAUGUCAAUUUGGGGCCUUUUAUAGCUGACUAUGCGGUAUGGGUUUUUCUCAUUGUUGAAGGCCGUACAGACUACAGUGACCUACUACACUUGUUCACUUCUAUGACUUCUAUGUGGAGAGUUCAAAACUGAAAUAUUUACUGUAUUAGACACAUAGAUUUAAACCUAGAAGACACAUCUAUUAGUUGUUCUAAAUCUUAACAUGAUUAUAUAAAAAUGCAGGUCAAAUUGAAAAUAUAACAAUAGUUAUAUGAAUAGCUCUUCCUUACGUCAUAGGGUCAAAUAACAAUAUACUUCAAGUAGACUUUGUGACACUUUGUGCUUGUUUAAAUGUAUUGUGUAUUUAUUAUAAAUGAAUGUAAUGCGAAUUGCACAUAAAUCUGAUAAAAGAUUGUAUCUUAUGCAUAUUAUACGUUAUAUGCACAUUGCAUUAGAUAAAUAGAACGAAUGACCUUAGUCAACUGUCAGAGAAAAUCUUGGUCUCGUUUAAAUUGAAACUUCCAUGAAGUUUUUAUAUUGAUCACAUAAAUUUUGAUUUCAUUUGUUGGAUUCUUUGCAGAUUUAUAUAUCUUUGAUUUGGUAUGUUCAAUAGUUAGUGCGCCAUAUCAAAAUGUAUUGAAAAUGAUUGCGAUUAAUUCAUGACCUAAAAGUAUUUAAAAAAUAUUUCUCUGUUGCUAUCAGAAUGCAUUAUUUUGAGCUCUCUGAACUACCAUGUCUUAUUUUGAGAGUGGUAUGGGUACUUCAGGAAAUAUAAGAUAUUUUAAAUUAUUUGUUAAUAAUUGUUAUAUAUAUUAAGUUAUUUAUUGUAUAAUUUUUAAAUGUUGUUGAAGAAUUUUUGACAUUUUUGGUAUGUUGCACGUUUUGAUACAAAUAAUUCCGUCCAGUGAAAUGUUUACUUUUUGUAACUUUCAAA
This 953-nucleotide long non-coding RNA is filed under the name Mytilus galloprovincialis (Mediterranean mussel). The record is from RNAcentral. Lineage: Eukaryota; Metazoa; Mollusca; Bivalvia; Mytilida; Mytilidae.